RNAcentral lists this ribosomal RNA (457 nucleotides) under Gemella haemolysans. Its description in RNAcentral is "bacterial SSU rRNA". It matches the Rfam family "Bacterial small subunit ribosomal RNA", at positions 28 to 472 of the family's 1533-position model. Lineage: Bacteria; Bacillati; Bacillota; Bacilli; Caryophanales; Gemellaceae. The record is from RNAcentral.
GACGAACGCUGGCGGCGUGCCUAAUACAUGCAAGUCGAGCGAAGUUUUUCUGGUGCUUGCACCGGAAAAACUUAGCGGCGAACGGGUGAGUAACACGUAAAGAACCUGCCUCAUAGACUGGGACAACUAUUGGAAACGAUAGCUAAUACCGGAUAACAGCAUUAACUGCAUGGUUGAUGUUUAAAAGUUGGUUUUGCUAACACUAUGAGAUGGCUUUGCGGUGCAUUAGCUAGUUGGUGGGGUAAAGGCCUACCAAGGCGACGAUGCAUAGCCGACCUGAGAGGGUGAUCGGCCACACUGGGACUGAGACACGGCCCAGACUCCUACGGGAGGCAGCAGUAGGGAAUCUUCCGCAAUGGGCGAAAGCCUGACGGAGCAACGCCGCGUGAGUGAAGAAGGAUUUCGGUUCGUAAAGCUCUGUUGUUAGGGAAGAAUGAUUGUGUAGUAACUAUACACA